Molecule: ribosomal RNA, 506 nt
Filed under: uncultured bacterium
Lineage: Bacteria
Description: partial 16S ribosomal RNA
Rfam family: Bacterial small subunit ribosomal RNA
Source: RNAcentral
AGUGAACGCUGGCGGUAGGCCUAACACAUGCAAGUCGAACGGCAGCACAGGAGAGCUUGCUCUCUGGGUGGCGAGUGGCGGACGGGUGAGGAAUACAUCGGACUCUACUCUGUCGUGGGGGAUAACGUAGGGAAACUUACGCUAAUACCGCAUACGACCUACGGGUGAAAGCAGGGGAUCUUCGGACCUUGCGCGAUUGAAUGAGCCGAUGUCGGAUUAGCUAGUUGGCGGGGUAAAGGCCCACCAAGGCGACGAUCCGUAGCUGGUCUGGGAGGAUGAGCAGCCACACUGGAACUGAGACACGGUCCAGACUCCUACGGGAGGCAGCAGUGGGGAAUAUUGGACAAUGGGCGCAAGCCUGAUCCAGCCAUACCGCGUGGGUGAAGAAGGCCUUCGGGUUGUAAAGCCCUUUUGUUGGGAAAGAAAUCCAGCUGGCUAAUACCCGGUUGGGAUGACGGUACCCAAAGAAUAAGCACCGGCUAACUUCGUGCCAGCCGCCGCCGUAA